RNAcentral lists this ribosomal RNA (551 nucleotides) under uncultured bacterium. RNAcentral's name for it is "partial 16S ribosomal RNA". It matches the Rfam family "Bacterial small subunit ribosomal RNA", at positions 355 to 900 of the family's 1533-position model. The record is from RNAcentral.
UGGGGAAUUUUGGACAAUGGGGGAAACCCUGAUCCAGCCAUCCCGCGUGUGCGAUGAAGGCCUUCGGGUUGUAAAGCACUUUUGGCAGGAAAGAAACGUCGCGGGUUAAUACCCCGCGGAACUGACGGUACCUGCAGAAUAAGCACCGGCUAACUACGUGCCAGCAGCCGCGGUAAUACGUAGGGUGCAAGCGUUAAUCGGAAUUACUGGGCGUAAAGCGUGCGCAGGCGGUUCGGAAAGAAAGAUGUGAAAUCCCAGAGCUUAACUUUGGAACUGCAUUUUUAACUACCGGGCUAGAGUGUGUCAGAGGGAGGUGGAAUUCCGCGUGUAGCAGUGAAAUGCGUAGAUAUGCGGAGGAACACCGAUGGCGAAGGCAGCCUCCUGGGAUAACACUGACGCUCAUGCACGAAAGCGUGGGGAGCAAACAGGAUUAAUACCCUGGUAGUCCACGCCCUAAACGAUGUCAACUAGCUGUUGGGGUCUUCGGACCUUGGUAGCGCAGCUAACGCGUGAAGUUGACCGCCUGGGGAGUACGGUCGCAAGAUUAAAAA